GGCUCAGAUAAACCGCAGGUCAGUGGCUAUCCCGUCCGCCUGAAAAGCGGAAGGUCGCCGGUUCGAUCCCGGCCCUGGCCACCA
RNAcentral lists this transfer RNA (84 nucleotides) under Mycobacteroides abscessus. RNAcentral describes it as "tRNA-Phe". The stretch from base 18 to 81 matches the Rfam family "tRNA". From Rfam's summary of the family: Transfer RNA (tRNA) molecules are approximately 80 nucleotides in length. Their secondary structure includes four short double-helical elements and three loops (D, anti-codon, and T loops). Lineage: Bacteria; Bacillati; Actinomycetota; Actinomycetes; Mycobacteriales; Mycobacteriaceae. The record is from RNAcentral.